RNAcentral lists this ribosomal RNA (383 nucleotides) under uncultured bacterium. Its description in RNAcentral is "bacterial SSU rRNA". It matches the Rfam family "Bacterial small subunit ribosomal RNA", at positions 28 to 411 of the family's 1533-position model. The record is from RNAcentral.
GACGAACGCUGGCGGCGUGCUUAACACAUGCAAGUCGAGCGGUAAGGCCCUUUCGGGGGUACACGAGCGGCGAACGGGUGAGUAACACGUGGGUGACCUGCCCUUAGCUCUGGGAUAAGCCUGGGAAACGUGGGUCUAAUACCGGAUAUGACUCCAUGACGCAUGUUGUGGGGUGGAAAGCCUUGUGCGGCUAGGGAUGGGCCCGCGGCCUAUCAGCUUGUUGGUGGGGUGAUGGCCUACCAAGGCGACGACGGGUAGCCGGCCUGAGAGGGCGACCGGCCACACUGGGACUGAGACACGGCCCAGACUCCUACGGGAGGCAGCAGUGGGGAAUCUUGCGCAAUGGGCGAAAGCCUGACGCAGCGACGCCGCGUGAGGGAUGA